Molecule: transfer RNA, 73 nt
Filed under: Enterocloster bolteae
Lineage: Bacteria; Bacillati; Bacillota; Clostridia; Lachnospirales; Lachnospiraceae
Description: [Clostridium] bolteae tRNA-Asn
Rfam family: tRNA
About the family: Transfer RNA (tRNA) molecules are approximately 80 nucleotides in length. Their secondary structure includes four short double-helical elements and three loops (D, anti-codon, and T loops). Further hydrogen bonds mediate the characteristic L-shaped molecular structure. tRNAs have two regions of fundamental functional importance: the anti-codon, which is responsible for specific mRNA codon recognition, and the 3' end, to which the tRNAs corresponding amino acid is attached (by aminoacyl-tRNA synthetases). tRNAs cope with the degeneracy of the genetic code in two manners: having more than one tRNA (with a specific anti-codon) for a particular amino acid; and 'wobble' base-pairing, i.e. permitting non-standard base-pairing at the 3rd anti-codon position.
Source: RNAcentral
UCCUCGAUAGCUCAGUCGGUAGAGCACGCGGCUGUUAACCGCGCUGUCGUAGGGUCAAGUCCUACUCGGGGAG